RNAcentral lists this ribosomal RNA (216 nucleotides) under Glomeromycotina sp. RNAcentral's name for it is "partial small subunit ribosomal RNA". The stretch from base 40 to 216 matches the Rfam family "Eukaryotic small subunit ribosomal RNA", at positions 686 to 864 of the family's 1831-position model. Lineage: Eukaryota; Fungi; Glomeromycota. The record is from RNAcentral.
GGGUCAGUAGGUUGGUCGUGCCACCGGUACGUACUGGUCUCACUGAUUCCUCCUUCCUGAAGAACCGUAGUGCCAUUAAUUUGGUGUUGCGGGGAAACAGGACUGUUACUUUGAAAAAAUUAGAGUGUUUAAAGCAAGCUAACGCUUGAAUACAUUAGCAUGGAAUAAUGAACUAGGACGAUCGAUCCUAUUUUGUUGGUUUCUAGGAUUGACGUA